GAUGAACGCUGGCGGCGUGCCUAAUACAUGCAAGUCGAGCGAACAGACGAGGAGCUUGCUCCUCUGACGUUAGCGGCGGACGGGUGAGUAACACGUGGAUAACCUACCUAUAAGACUGGGAUAACUUCGGGAAACCGGAGCUAAUACCGGAUAAUAUAUUGAACCGCAUGGUUCAAUAGUGAAAGACGGUUUUGCUGUCACUUAUAGAUGGAUCCGCGCCGCAUUAGCUAGUUGGUAAGGUAACGGCUUACCAAGGCAACGAUGCGUAGCCGACCUGAGAGGGUGAUCGGCCACACUGGAACUGAGACACGGUCCAGACUCCUACGGGAGGCACCAGUAGGGAAUCUUCCGCAAUGGGCGAAAGCCUGACGGAGCAACGCCGCGUGAGUGAUGAAGGUCUUCGGAUCGUAAAACUCUGUUAUUAGGGAAGAACAAAUGUGUAAGUAACUAUGCACGUCUUGACGGUACCUAAUCAGAAAGCCACGGCUAACUACGUG
RNAcentral lists this ribosomal RNA (497 nucleotides) under uncultured bacterium. RNAcentral describes it as "partial 16S ribosomal RNA". It matches the Rfam family "Bacterial small subunit ribosomal RNA", at positions 28 to 507 of the family's 1533-position model. The record is from RNAcentral.